GAUGAACGCUGGCGGCGUGCCUAAUACAUGCAAGUCGAGCGAACAGAUGAGGAGCUUGCUCCUCUGACGUUAGCGGCGGACGGGUGAGUAACACGUGGAUAACCUACCUAUAAGACUGGGAUAACUUCGGGAAACCGGCGCUAAUACCGGAUAAUAUAUUGAACCGCAUGGUUCAAUAGUGAAAGACGGUUUUGCUGUCACUUAUAGAUGGAUCCGCGCCGCAUUAGCUAGUUGGUAAGGUAACGGCUUACCAAGGCAACGAUGCGUAGCCGACCUGAGAGGGUGAUCGGCCACACUGGAACUGAGACACGGUCCAGACUCCUAAGGGAGGCAGCAGUAGGGAAUCGGCCGCAAUGGGCGAAAGCCUGACGGAGCAACGCCGCGUGAGUGAUGAAGGUCUUCGGAUCGUAAAACUCUGUUAUUAGGGAAGAACAAAUGUGUAAGUAACUAUGCACGUCGUGACGGUACCUAAUCAGAAAGCCACGGCUAACUACGUG
RNAcentral lists this ribosomal RNA (497 nucleotides) under uncultured bacterium. Its description in RNAcentral is "partial 16S ribosomal RNA". It matches the Rfam family "Bacterial small subunit ribosomal RNA", at positions 28 to 507 of the family's 1533-position model. The record is from RNAcentral.